This is a long non-coding RNA of Xyrauchen texanus (razorback sucker), 6959 nucleotides long. RefSeq lists it as uncharacterized. The record is from RefSeq and is a predicted model, not a curated record. The transcript is spliced from 14 exons. Lineage: Eukaryota; Metazoa; Chordata; Actinopteri; Cypriniformes; Catostomidae.
GGGAAAUCACUGGAGAUUUACUCCGGUGUUGGACUUACUACUUCAAAUAAAAACUGAAGCGAUUUUUGCAAGGAGAAAUCACGGGAGAUUUACUCUGGUGUUGGACUUUCUACUUCAAAUUAAAAACUGAGGCGAUUUUUGCAAGAAUGGACUCUUCGGCGCCACCUAGAUCAUGGGCAUGUUCAGGGGCUAUCUAGCACAUCCCUUUUGAGGUUGAAAUAAGAGGUUAAAAACAAGCACAUAUUGGGCAAAUAUCAGCCCAAAUAAAUCUGCAGCAUUAAUCGGCCAUCGGCCGACCCGGAUUUCAAAAGAUCGGCAUCGGCCUGAAAAAAAAACAAUAUCGGGAAUGCAUAUUUGCGCAGCCCACGGGGCCAGCUGUGUGCCAGCACGUCUCCAUCGAGGGGAGCUCCCAUCAAGGCACACCAGAGCGGGCAGUGGGAGGAUCCCCGGGAGGUGAACAGGUCUACCUGUGCCUUGCCGAAUUGACACCAAAUCAGCUGGAGUACGCGUCCUUCAGGUCUAUCGCCCCAAACCAAUCUUGAAGCCGGAUGCAUGUCAAAAUGUGCUUUUGCGUCAGCAUCUUGCACUGGAGUCUGUGUAAGGCACGGUUCAGAACUCACAGGUACAGGAUUGGCCACAACCCACUGCUCUUCUUGGGAAAAAACCUUGCCUCACCUUGGCAGGAGGGACGGGCUCUAUCGCACCCUUCUGCAGAAGGACCACAAUCUCCACCCACAGGACGGCGGCGCACUCAUCCUUCAUUGACGUGAAGUGAACGCCGCGGAACUAGGGUUGGUGCCAUUCGAAUUUAAUUGCAUAGCCGAGUCGGAUGGUUCUGGCCAACCAGCGUGACAGGGUUGGAUAGUGAUAGUUCCUACACUCACAGUAGCUUGCCUACACCUGCAUUGGCAGUUCACGUGUAACAGUUCAGCCAUGUGGCAUUUUGUAUAGGGACCCCUAGUGUAGAGUGACAGAAGGGGUACGUCUCGGUUACUGUCGUAACCUCCAUUCCCUGAUGGAGGGAACGAGACAUUGUGUCCCCUCUUGCCACAGGCUGUACCUACACAGCUGUAAUGGUCGGGACCUUGUCUCGGCUCCUCACUUCAAAACCUGAAUGAAUUCGCAUUCCAGCUCCCUUUUAUACCCGUAUGCCAAUCCUCCAUCAGGGAACUGGUGUUACGACAGUAUUUGUCUCCGACCCUACUAGAUUUAUGAUUUGCCUCCACAGAAUUAUUAAUUCCAUUUCUAAAUUCUCAGGCUACAGAGUCAAUUGGUCUAAAUCCAAAGCUGUGGCUCUGACAGCGUAUUUCCCGGUCGGCUUUUCAACCAUGCACCUUCCAGUGGCCCAAACAGGGCAUUAAGUAUUUGGGCAUCUUAUUCCCAGCAAAUUUGUGUGAUUUAGUUAGUCAGUUUUGACCCUUUAAUAAAAAGCUUUGAGUGAUGUGGGCAGGUUGGCUUCAUUACAUUUAUCUAUGAUUGGGAAGGUUAAAUGUUAUUUAAAUGAAUUGCAUUCCAAAAUUCAAUUACCUGCUACAAUCACUCCCUGUAGAUGUCCCCAUCUCUUAUUUCAAGCAAUUUGAUAGCAUAGCGAAGUCCUUCAUUUGGAAUGGUAAAUGUCCCAGAUUACAUUUCAGUAAAUUGCAUAUGCCGAUUGACAAAGGUGGGCUAGGCCUACCUAAGAUUUUAUUUAGAAUUCAGUCUCAGACAUUUGGCUCAUUGGUGGCUUCCUCCUGAGAGAUCCCCUCCCUGGUUUUGUAUUGAACAGGAAGUUCUUGCCCCUAUUUCGCCAUUGCAAAGCCUUUAUCAAACAAAUCUGAAAAGUUACACCCUGUUGUCUUGCAUUUGCACUCAUAUGGUCAAAAGUGUCCAAAGAGUUAAAUUCUGACAUUUAUUUAAAUGUUGCCUCGAGCAUAUGGCUGAACCCCAAAUAAUAUUUUACUGCGGAGGUUGAAGGGGUGGGGGGGUCAGCCUUUCAGUGCUCAGACCAUACGCUGCACACUGCAUCAAAUUGGCAAACAAGACGACAAGCAGACGAAGGACAUGGAUUACUGGAACCAUGUCCUGUGGUCUGAUGAAACCAAGAUAAACUUUUUUGGUUCAGAUGGCGAUAAAUACGGUCUACAAGUAAAAUCCCAUUCACUUACAUUGGCUGAGAAAAGACUCUCCCUCUACUGGAGUAACUGUCUACCAAAUGCACCUCUACUGGAGCAAUCUCUCUAAUGGAGCAAUUCUGUCUACUAGCGGGUGGAGCUCCAGACUUGGAUGACAGAUGAAUUUUGCUUGCGUCUGCACGAAGGUAUGUCAAUUGUGUGUUUUAAUGCUUACCAGUUUGAACAUUCAAGCGAUUUUACACUAUUCAACUCACCAAAUGGCAAAACAACUCAAAUAAAUGUUUGCGUAGCACAGGCGAGAUCAUUUUUGCUUGCAUCUUCACGAAGGUUUGUUGGUUGUAUGCGUUUAAAUGCUUGCCAGUUUAAAUAUUCAAGCGAUUUUACACCAUUCGCACAGUCUGAUAACAUAAAUUUGAUAGCAUUAUUUUACCGUAAAAACCCUUAAAACAACAGUAAAGUACACAAACACUAAACGGUAAAUCACUGUUUACACUACAGAUGCAUGCUGUUAGAACUGUUUUUCCCAUUGUGUUUAACAAUAAAUCACAAUGAUAUGUCAACAAGAAUAUGUGUGCACCUCUAUGAAAAGAAAUAAUUUUACGCCUGCCCUGGUCUCUCUCAUUAAUUAGAUUACAUGACUUUAUGAUUCGUUAUUAUUAAAUUGAUAUAACAUGCAAUGUGUGACAUGUUUUACAGUCUUUAUUUUAUUGUCCAUAUGCAUCGUAUUGCAUAUGGUAAUGCAUCAUUAAUAAAAUGUUGAAAAGAAUAAUUUUAUGUGUUGAAGCUCAGGCUUUAUUUUCUUAUUGGAUUUUUAGUUGUCCAAUAUGUGCCACGACGCUGCAUAAUAUAAAGAAACCAUAUUUUUAUUAGGCAUUUUAUGUUUUAAAGUUAUUGCCUUUAGACUUGUCUAAUCAGCGCUCGAGACGUGUUCUCGCUCCUUUUGAACUUGAACUGGCGGUAUUUCUGGAACAGACAGCAAGCAAGCAUCAAUACACCGACCACGGCGAGCUGCUGAAAUGACUUUUUUCUCCACUCGAAAUCAGUCUGGUAAGCACAAAUAAACGAAUUCUCUAAAGUUGAAUUUCAAUAAUUGUUUUAGUUAUUUGAAUACAGCUUUUGUGUUUAUUUUAUUUUCAUAUCUUCCACAUUAGACCUGUUGGCUGUCUAGAUGGUAACUUUUAUCCUUUUAAUAUAUAAACUCACAUUGGAAAUAAACUAAUUCGCUCUGAUGUCUUUUAUUUGAAACGUUUGUAACACAUAUACUUUUAAGUAGAGAUGAGAAUCGGACAGGAAUUUGCAUAAUAUGUACCUGUGAAAGAGACAUUGAAGUGUCUGUUAAAUUCAGAGGUUUGGAAGAAUUGCAUUUUGAUGGACCUGCCAAAAAAAAAAACUAUACUGAUCUUUGUGAUUGCACAGAUGGCCAAAUACUGAAGUGCAGAGAUUUCCCUCAAGACAACCAAAGCUUGAAUGAAUAAAAUUGUGUCAUAUAAAAAAAAUUAAGGUAUAGUUCACCCAAAAAUAAAAAUGUAUACACAAUUGACUUCCAGGAAAACAAUACUAUGGGAGUCAAUGGUGCCUCACAACUGUUUGGUUAUAAACAUUCUUCAAAAUAACUUCCUUUGUGUUCAGCAGUACAAAGAUAUUUAUUCAGGUUUGGAACAACAUGAGGGUGAGUAAAUGACAGAAGUUUCAUUUUUUUGGGUUAACUAGGGAAGUUACAGUUAAUUCAGUUACAUCGUCAGAAUGGCUGGUGGUGAAUGGUUUUAAUAUAUUUUGGAGCUUUAAUCUCAUUGUGCUGACAGACAUUUUAUUGUUUGCUUUUGUCUGUAGGCUCUUCCUGCUACACAUCAAAACUGCUCAUGCUGAGUAUCGACCAAAAGAUUACAACUCCAUGCACAAUGCAGAGAUGAAUGUAGAAUUGUGCGAUGUUUGGCAGUUACUACGGUUUUAACAUUCUUUGUUUUCUUUUGAACUGGGUUCUACUCUGGAGUUCAUGCAAAGGUAGGCAUUAAACCAUUUUUUUAAAUGAAAUUUGUGGUAACACUAAAGGAAGGUCCCAUUUGUUAACAUUAGGUAAUGUACAAACUAACAAUGGGAAUUACAUACUAACAUGAACUAACAAUGGGAGUUACAUUUGUAACAGUAUUUAAUCUUUGUUUUUGUAAGAAAAAUACAGUCGAUCAUGUUAGUUAACAGCACAUUAACUAAUGUUGAAAGUAACGUUAAUUCUAUAAAUUGUCAUUAAUUUACUGUCCUUCGGAACAUGGGAGAUAUUUGUCACUCCAUUGGCAGCUAUGUGACUACCACUUUCAAGGUCCAGAAAGGUAGUAAAAACAUCAUUAAAAGUAAUCCAUGUGACUCCAGUGGAUUAACCUCAAUUUAUGAAGCAUCGCGAUUGCUUCGUUUGUGCAAAAGAGCAUAAUUUAUGGGUCUAUAAACUUAUUAAAAAAAAAAUGAUUAUUCACACAAUGUCUGCUCUCGCAUCCAUACAACACACGUGUCAUGAUGCUCUCAUUAACAAGUGUUACAGAUCAAUAUUUUUGUAAAUAAAGUGGUAAAUUGUUUUUUGCCCAAACAAAGCACUCAUGUUGCUUCAUAAAAUUGAAGUUAAACCACUGGAGUCACAUGAUUGCUUUAAUGUCUUGUACUUGAAAGUGGUAUUUGCAUAGCUGUCGAUGGAGUGACAGAAAGCUCUCAGGUUUCAUUAAAUUCUUCAUUUGUGUCCCGAAGAUGAACUGAAGUCUUGCGCGUUUGGAACGAUUUGAGGGUGAGUAAUUGUUAACUUAUUGUAAAGUGUUACAGAAAUGGUAAAAAUUCCACCCAAAAAUUAAAAUUCUGUCAUUACCCAGCAAACAUUGGUUCGACGGCAACGUCGUGUCCCUGGCCAAAACUAGUUGCAGUAGGACGACAUAAAUCAGUAAAAAUUUUACAACGAACACUUCCUAAAAAUGCAUUCAGAUACGUUUCAUAACUUUAAUUUUGGAACUACUUUUCAACCAUGAUGAGACGUGUCAGAGGGACGUCUUUUCAAUGGUCAUUAAAUGUCCAAAUGGUUGCUGGGUAUUUACUCUCAAGAGGUUCCCAACCGAUUUCUUCAGCUGAACACAAGAUAUUUUGAAAAAUAUGGGUUACCAGACAUUUUCUAGUCCCUAUUGACUUCCAUAGUCAUUUUUUCCCAUACUAUGGAAGUCAAUGGGCACCAGUAACUCUUUAGUAACACGUUCAACAGAAGAAAUUCAUACAUGUUUGGAACUGUAAUCAGUGUAUAUUUAUGAGCAACAAAUUCAGUCAUUCAAUUAUCUUUUUAAGGUGCUUCUUCAGCAUAAACCCAGAGAAGGGCACCAAAGUUGAAGAGGAAAAACAAACAGCUCCCAGUGAACCCCUGAGUCCUUACACUCAUAGCAGACCUUGCUGAUCAUGAAUGGAGAGCAGUUUAAGGUUGGACAAAAACUUUGACAGAUGUCUGAAGAUUAAGUUGGCACUGAGAAUGUUUUACAACCUUGUUAUCUGGAUUUACACUGAAAGAUGCUUGAACUUUGAAUGUCGAAAAACGACUUAAAUAGAAAGAGAUCCUUAUGGAUUAAAAAACCUGAGAUGUUCUGCAUGAUUGAGCAACUGAUUAAUUAAACCGGAAAUGAGGGCUGAUUUUUACUUCAAGCAAAUUGACGGCGGCUGAGUGCAAAAAAAAAAUGCAAAUGGCGGAUGCAAACGCUAGAGGCGGCAACUUUUACAAAUCACUUUCAUGCAUUUAGGACAUUUCAAUUUAAGCAAGACAGAAAGCAGCUACUGUAAUAUGUCUGAGCAGGACUUUAUUCCACCUAAAGUGGGCCAGGACGGAUGAAGACGUAACACGUAUCAUAAUGAGCCGGAUGGCCAAUGGGCAUCUCUUCUCUGGAUGCAGGAACGCAGCCCAGCUUGGAUGGGAAACUGUUCUGAAAGAGUUGGGGUUGCUUGGUGUGGUAACCCCUGCCAAAGCUGCCAAAAAGUGGGAAAACUUGAAGAAAACAUACAAGUGAUCCAGCCAAAAAGGAAGGAUAAUUGAGGAGUUUUUGUCCAUACAAUGUAAAUCUGUGUGGUCCGAAACAUUCAAGCUCCUAAAAGGAUAUUAAAGCAGAAUAAAGGUUUAUUACGAGUUCAACAAAGUGGUGAGUAAAAUUCUCAGACAGAUCUUCUUUGAUGCACUUGACCGUUUCUCUCCAAGCCUGAUGGACCUCUUCAGGAAGAAGAAAGGCCUCACCGCCAAGCUUCUGUCUGAGCUUUUACGUUAGACAAAGACCACUGAGCCAACAGACAAUAGCUGCCUUUGUCUUCGGGGACUGCCGGUCAUUUUGGGGGAUGAUCCUUCUGCCGCCUUCAAGACCUGCUCCGAUGUAACUGACAAGGACUUGUACAGUCAGACUCCAGUGGAAAUCCUCUACGUUGAUCAAGAAAGUCCUCAACUAAACCCAUCCAGAGUGGGGAUCUUCUUGGAAGGGAGUUUGGUGAUGGGUGAACUGGCCAACCUGCCUCUGGCCUUCUGUGUCCUUUUCGGACUGAUUUAUGCCCUGCACCUGAACUAACCCAAGUGCAUGAAAAACACCUUCUCCUUUAUUCUGCAGGUAAUGCUCAACCUGGGAAAAGGUGAGCUGACACCCAAAAUUCAUUCUUUGAAAAAUCAGCUUGCCGUGUAAAACGAGCUUCCCAAUAGUUAUACCUCUGCUCCAAAUACCUGGUGGUUAGUUUGAAAGUUUACUGUUGUGCACCGUUUCAUAGAGACAAAGGUUGGAAAUCUCUGAAACUUGAAGUUGGCAAGUCCUUUGACUGUAUUGCUGUCUGUUGUAUUUUCAAAUGAAACGUUCUAAAUUGAAA